This is a non-coding RNA of Misgurnus anguillicaudatus (oriental weatherfish), 2345 nucleotides long. The record is from RefSeq and is a predicted model, not a curated record. NCBI's taxonomy places the organism in Eukaryota, Metazoa, Chordata, Actinopteri, Cypriniformes, Cobitidae.
UUGGAACAUUAACAGAACAUUCCGACAUGGUACUAUUUUGGUCGUAUCAUAACGUUCCUGAUAUGACUGUAGGAUGACGUUCCAUAUUGGUUAUCCUGUGGUCACAUAAGAACGUUACAGAAAGGACUUUUGGAACAUUUACAGAACCAUCCUACAUGGUCCUCUGUUGGUCAUAUAAUAUUGUUCCUGAUAUGACUUUAGGGGGACGUCCCAUAUUGGUUAUCCUGUGGUCACAUGGCAACGUUACAAAGAGGACAUUUGGAACAUUAAUAGAAUGUUCUCACAUGGUCCUCUGUUGGUCAUUUAAUAAUGUUCCUGAUAUCACUAGGAGGACAAAAUAUGAAAUUACAGUUAGAGCAUUUUAUUUUUAUAGGCAGUUAAUAAAAAGGAUGUGUCAAUGUGCAGUGGACCAUACAAACAAAGUAAUAAAUAAAUGAUUUCAGAAUGAAGAAAAAUAAAUGAGUGAUUCAGUCUGCACUAUCGUACAUCAGACAAAGACAAAUAGUAAUUAAAUAAGACUUUACAUUACAUUGUGUUAACAAGCACAAAAAAUACUAGUAAAUAAUACUAUACUAAUAUGUAUUAUGUUGUACUCUCUGAAUAUAAUGAUGUAGAUUGCAAUGCAUCUUGGAAACAGUAGUCAGUUAACAGCAAAGCGUUCAAUCCGCUUUAUGAAAAGAACUACCUUUCCCAUAAUGCAACAGCUUACAAGAGGACCCGGAAGUCACAUGAAAUUCAAACUGCCACACUUGACGACGCGUGAUCUUUGUUUUGUCUUUAUAUAAUACUGUAAGAAGUCAUGUACCACACAUUGUCAAACCUGAAGAAGUGUAUCUUCCUGCAAUCUGGGUAAAGAAGGUGUAACUUUAACACACAUUAUUUAAAAACAUAAGAGUCAUGUUCAUUAUUUAUCUUUGUGUAAUUUGAUUUAAAUUACAAUAUUGAAUGUAUUGAAUUUGUUAAAUUUUGUAUGAGGUAAUUUCUUGUAUGGGUUAAUUUGCCUAAUAUUAGUAUUAGAUACAAAAGCACAAGUGUUUUGGCUUAAAAGUGACAGCAUGUUUUAAAAAUGUUUCAGGUACUGGGGCUUGGAUUGUUUGAAGUAGUAAAGAAUAAUGGCAAAUAAUGAAGCAGGCAAUAAAAAAUACUUGACCAAGAAGUUUUGGAGCUUAACAUUUUUGUAGUUUGUAAUUGCUUUUUUCUUUAAGUUGGUAAUUUGAAAAUCUUUCUGGAAGUCUGAAAUCUUCCUACAUAUUUUUUUCACAUCUCGAUUUGAAUGUUAAAAAUCUUAGUUCUUGGAUUUGUGAUGUUUUGUAAUAUGUGUUUUUGCCCUUACUUAUGCAUUUUAUGUAAAUAUAUUUUUAACUGGAUUUGUAUUUGUAUGCUCUUAUUCUGCAGGCUCCAGACCUGGGGCCUAUAACAUGAAGCUGGUUUAGUUGGUUAGCCAGCUUUGUUUAGGAUUAGUUUGUGCAAAUCCUGGGUUUUGGGUACCAUGAAAAUAGCUUUUACCAACAAGGCCUGCACAUUGGCUUGGUUUUGUCAACCUGAAACUAAUCCUGUAACCCUGAGUUUGUUUAACCAUUUUCAUGGUACGGGCCCCUGGAGAUUGAAGUUCCUAAAGGUUGAUGUUUAUCAAGCUUGUGACCUUAUCACAUGGUGUUAUGUUUUUACAUUUAUAUAUCUAAUACACAUUUGCACAUCUGUAAACAUAAAUUUAAUAUUUUGUGGACUAUUUUUUAUUUUAUUUAACCAGUUGUUGUAUAUUGAAAUAUGUUACAUUUUAUGCACUCCAAAUGUAAAUGUUUUGUUUUAAUUGCAUCUUUAUUGUUUAAAACAAUUUAAUUAAUGUGGGUUUUUGUUAGCUUUUAUGUUAUUCUUGUAUUUUUUGGCUAUUUAUUUGUUUUUGUUUUUUGUUAUCCUUCUGUUAAUUUGCCAGAUUUUGACCUUCUAUUUGUUUUUCCUGUAAUCUCACUUCAAUUAUUUUCUGUGUUUCUCAAUGAUAAAUUUUUGUCACAGUCCCAAUUUGUUCCUGCUUGUUUCUCCACUGUCAGGUGAGGAUAAUAAAAAGGAUUAUGGGAAAUGAAGUCCAAAUGGAUUAUGAACGGGGAACUGUUCGUCAUCCAUUUGGACUUCAUUUCCCAUAAUCCUUUUCACUCUCUCACCUGAACUGUGUUUGUUAUUAUCCUCACCUGACAGUCAUCCCCCUCAUCACUCCAUUGUCUAAAUACCCUGCUUUUCCCUUUGUCUAGGUCAGUUCUUGUUUAUAGUGAUGUGUUGUGUGUUUUGCUGUUUACCAGUUUCCAUGUUCCUUGUUUUAUAUUAAUUAAAGAUUAUCAUUUUGGAUUCAU